RNAcentral lists this ribosomal RNA (315 nucleotides) under Triticum aestivum (bread wheat). Its description in RNAcentral is "partial small subunit ribosomal RNA". The record is from RNAcentral. Lineage: Eukaryota; Viridiplantae; Streptophyta; Magnoliopsida; Poales; Poaceae.
AUGUCUCAUCCUGCUCCUAGCCGGCGAUGGGAACUUUGGUGGGCAACCUAUUCUUCUCCAUGGUGCUCCAGCAACUACAUAAGCAUACCGGGCCUCUCAGAUUGUUGCCCUGCAGGAUUCACGUUGGAGGGGAUGGAGGGCACUGUUCAAGAGAGGACAUGUCGAUGGGGAACAACAAUACACCAGGCUCCCCUGUAUUUCUUUCCGUUUCAUGUACUAUUCCUUCUUCCACCAAACAAUUUCUUUGUCCUGACAUCCUGCCAAUCCAAUUUGUACAUACAGGUAAUGUUUUUUGGCGGUGGUCAAUUGACUUGA